Molecule: ribosomal RNA, 433 nt
Filed under: uncultured bacterium
Lineage: Bacteria
Description: partial 16S ribosomal RNA
Rfam family: Bacterial small subunit ribosomal RNA
Source: RNAcentral
AACGAACGCUGGCGGCAUGCCUAACACAUGCAAGUCGAACGAGACCUUCGGGUCUAGUGGCGCACGGGUGCGUAACGCGUGGGAAUCUGCCCUUCGGUUGGGAAUAACUGAGAGAAAUUUCAGCUAAUACCUUAUAAUGUCUUCGGACCAAAGAUUUAUCGCCGAGGGAUGAGCCCGCGUAGGGUUAGGUAGUUGGUGGGGUAAUGGCCUACCAAGCCGACGAUCCUUAGCUGGUCUGAGAGGAUGAUCAGCCACACUGGGACUGAGACACGGCCCAGACUCCUACGGGAGGCAGCAGUGGGGAAUAUUGGACAAUGGGCGAAAGCCUGAUCCAGCAAUGCCGCGUGAGUGAUGAAGGCCUUAGGGUUGUAAAGCUCUUUUACCCGGGAUGAUAAUGACAGUACCGGGAGAAUAAGCUCCGGCUAACUCCGUG